RNAcentral lists this transfer RNA (69 nucleotides) under Sclerophasma paresisense. RNAcentral describes it as "tRNA-Val". The record is from RNAcentral. Lineage: Eukaryota; Metazoa; Arthropoda; Insecta; Mantophasmatodea; Mantophasmatidae.
CAAGACAUAAUUUAUAGUAAAUUUUUCAUUUACACUGAAAAUAUAUUCGUGCGAUUCGAGUUGUUUUGA